This 373-nucleotide unclassified non-coding RNA is filed under the name uncultured fungus. Its description in RNAcentral is "partial contains 5.8S ribosomal RNA and internal transcribed spacer 2". The stretch from base 1 to 134 matches the Rfam family "5.8S ribosomal RNA", at positions 22 to 154 of the family's 154-position model. Lineage: Eukaryota; Fungi. The record is from RNAcentral.
UGGUUCUGGCAUCGAUGAAGAACGCAGCGAAAUGCGAUAAGUAAUGCGAAUUGCAGAAUUCCAGUGAGUCAUCGAAUUUUUGAACGCACAUUGCGCCCUUUGGCAUUCCGAAGGGCAUGCCUGUUCGAGCGUCAUUAUCACCUCUCUCAAGCCCCUCCUCUUUUACAGAGCCGGGCUUGAUGUUGGACAGGCGGUGUUGGAAGACGCCCCUUCUAAAGACAACGACGGCGGCCCGUGAGACCCCCGGUACAUUGAGUUCUUCACCGAACACGUACUGGAUCAAGGGAACACGUGGUGUUGGUCGGUUCUCCCCGUCAUCAGGGAGAACAUUUUUAAUCAGGUUGACCUCGGAUCAGGUAGGGAUACCCGCUGA